GUGGGUAUAGUUCAGUGGUAGAGCCCAUGCUUAGCAUUCAUGAGGUCUUGGGUUUGAUCCCUGGUACCUCCA
This 72-nucleotide transfer RNA is filed under the name Camelus bactrianus (Bactrian camel). It matches the Rfam family "tRNA". From Rfam's summary of the family: Transfer RNA (tRNA) molecules are approximately 80 nucleotides in length. Their secondary structure includes four short double-helical elements and three loops (D, anti-codon, and T loops). The record is from Rfam by way of RNAcentral. Lineage: Eukaryota; Metazoa; Chordata; Mammalia; Artiodactyla; Camelidae. RNAcentral also lists the same sequence under 3 other names.